RNAcentral lists this non-coding RNA (30 nucleotides) under Rattus norvegicus (Norway rat). The record is from RNAcentral. Lineage: Eukaryota; Metazoa; Chordata; Mammalia; Rodentia; Muridae.
UUCCAAUCUUAGAGGUACUGACUCCUCUGC